This 460-nucleotide ribosomal RNA is filed under the name uncultured bacterium. RNAcentral describes it as "partial 16S ribosomal RNA". It matches the Rfam family "Bacterial small subunit ribosomal RNA", at positions 338 to 795 of the family's 1533-position model. The record is from RNAcentral.
CCUACGGGUGGCAGCAGUGAGGAAUAUUGGUCAAUGGACGAGAGUCUGAACCAGCCAAGUAGCGUGAAGGAUGACUGCCCUAUGGGUUGUAAACUUCUUUUAUAAAGGAAUAAAACGAGGCACGUGUGCCUUUUUGCAUGUACUUUAUGAAUAAGGAUCGGCUAACUCCGUGCCAGCAGCCGCGGUAAUACGGAGGAUUCGAGCGUUAUCCGGAUUUAUUGGGUUUAAAUGGAGCGUAGAUGGGUUGUUAAGUCAGUUGUGAAAGUUUACGGCUCAACCGUAAAAUUGCAAUUGAUACUGGCAGUCGUGAGUACAGUUGAGGUAGGCGGAAUUCGUGGUGUAGCGGUGAAAUGCUUAGAUAGCACGAAGAACCCCGAUUGCGAAGGCAGCUUACUAAACUGUGACUGACAUUGAUGCUCGAAAGUGUGGGUAUCAAACAGGAUUAGAUACCCCUGUAGUC